AUGUCUGGUGAGCUGCCACCGGCCCUAGGUAACUGCUCAAAUCUCAGAUACAUUACCCUCAGAAACAACAGUUUUACCGGGCAUCUCAGUAGAGUCAACUUCACCAUGGUGGAUCUGAGGACAGCUGAUUUUUCAAUGAAUAACUUCAGUGAUACAAUUCCUGAAAUUAUCUACUCAUGCAGCAACCUAGUUGCAUUGCGCCUAGCUUUCAAUCAAUUUCAUGGCCAGUUCUCACCAAGCAUUGGAAAUCUCAGGUUCCUCUCCUUCUUUUCAGUCACCGGCAACUCUUUUACAAAUAUCACAAAUGCACUUCAGAUGCUCAAGGGCUGCAAGAAUCUCACCUCCCUGAUGAUGGGAACCAAUUUCAAGGGUGAAACCAUACCACAAGAUGAAACAUUUUAUGGUUUUGAGAGUCUUCAGGUAUUGACCAUAGAUGAUUGCCCAUUGACCGGGCAAAUCCCUCUUUGGAUAUCAAAGCUUGCAAAAUUGGAGAUGCUAGAUUUAUCAUUAAAUCAACUCACUGGACAAAUACCAUCCUGGAUUGAUGGACUGGGCUUCCUGUUCUCUCUAGAUAUAUCAAGCAACAAACUUACAGGGGAUAUACCAGGUGCAUUGACAAAGAUGCCGAUGUUACUAUCUGAGAGAAAUGCUGCCAAGUUGGACACAAGGUUCCNNCCUUUUUCGGCAUAUUGGACACCAUUACGUCAAUACCGGAUGGUCAGUGCUUUUCCCAGCAAAUUGUGUCUAGACAACAAUAAUUUCACUGGUGCAAUUCCCCCAGAGAUUGGUCAACUAAAAAUGCUCGACAUCCUGAAUUUAAGCUCCAACAGCUUAACUGGUGAAAUACCACAAGAAAUCUGCAACCUCACAAACCUGCAAAUGCUUGAUCUGUCAAACAACCAGCUCACAGGUGCAAUACCAUCUGACAGUUUGAUUCGUUUUCAAAUUCCAGCUACAGUGGAAUCCAAAGCUAUGCAGACCUAUGAUCAACAAUGA
RNAcentral lists this ribosomal RNA (996 nucleotides) under Triticum aestivum (bread wheat). Its description in RNAcentral is "partial small subunit ribosomal RNA". Lineage: Eukaryota; Viridiplantae; Streptophyta; Magnoliopsida; Poales; Poaceae. The record is from RNAcentral.